GAUGAACGCUAGCUACAGGCUUAACACAUGCAAGUCGAGGGGCAGCAUUGGGAUAGCUUGCUAUUCCAGAUGGCGACCGGCGCACGGGUGAGUAACGCGUAUCCAACCUUCCCCAUAGUAGGGCACAGCCCGGCGAAAGUCGGAUUAAUUCCCUAUGCUGUCCAGAGAGGACAUCUGACCUGGACGAAAGAUUCAUCGCUAUGGGAUGGGGAUGCGUCUGAUUAGGUUGCAGGCGGGGUAACGGCCCACCUGGCCGACGAUCAGUAGGGGUUCUGAGAGGAAGGUCCCCCACAUUGGAACUGAGACACGGUCCAAACUCC
Molecule: ribosomal RNA, 320 nt
Filed under: uncultured Prevotella sp.
Lineage: Bacteria; Pseudomonadati; Bacteroidota; Bacteroidia; Bacteroidales; Prevotellaceae
Description: bacterial SSU rRNA
Rfam family: Bacterial small subunit ribosomal RNA
Source: RNAcentral